UACGUAGGGUCCAAGCGUUAUCCGGAAUUACUGGGCGUAAAGAGUUGCGUAGGUGGCAUAGUAAGCGAAUAGUGAAAUGACGGGGCUCAACCCCGUGCCCAUUAUUUGAACUGCUAAGCUAGAGAAUGAGAGAGGUCACUGGAAUUCCCUGUGUAGGAGUGAAAUCCGUAGAUAUAGGGAGGAACACCGAUGGCGUAGGCAGGUGACUGGCUCAUUUCUGACACUAAGGCACGAAAGCGUGGGGAGCAAACGGG
Molecule: ribosomal RNA, 254 nt
Filed under: uncultured bacterium
Lineage: Bacteria
Description: partial 16S ribosomal RNA
Rfam family: Bacterial small subunit ribosomal RNA
Source: RNAcentral